CUGGAUUCGCUAGUAAUCGCGCAUCAGCCACGGCGCGGUGAAUACGUUCCCGGGCCUUGUACACACCGCCCGUCACACCAUGGGAGUUGGGAAUGCCCGAAGCCGGUGACCUAAACCGGAAAGGGAGGAGCCGUCGAAGGCAGGCUUGAUAACUGGGGUGAAGUCGUAACAAGGUAAC
This 178-nucleotide ribosomal RNA is filed under the name uncultured bacterium. RNAcentral's name for it is "partial 16S ribosomal RNA". It matches the Rfam family "Bacterial small subunit ribosomal RNA", at positions 1326 to 1500 of the family's 1533-position model. The record is from RNAcentral.